GGCGGAGAGGGAGGGAGAAUUCCACGCUGUCGGCACAGAGCCUGGCGUGGGGCUCGAUCCCCCGUGAAAUCAUGACCUGAGCCAAGAUCGAGAGUUGGACGCUUAACUGAGCCACCCACGCUCCCCUAGAGAUAACUCUUUUAGCUACCAUUGUAACUGGGUUAUUUUUGUGCUCUGACCCCUCAAUCACAUGUGCAUGCAACACGUCUCAUGUUGUAGUUGCUUGUAAACUCAUGUGCUAUGCUUGACUAUAUUUUUUGAGGGUAGCAACACUCUCUUCUUUAUCUCGUACUCUCACACUGAACAAAUGAAAUAAUUGAAUACUUGGAUAAAUGAAAACAAUGGCUAUUUAGCUUUUCUGCCUAAAAUAGCUUUUUAUAAACUCCUGUCCGGGAAUACCAGUGGGUGGGUAUUGCUGUAUUUAUACCAGAGAAGACCAGUAUAUGACCAGCUGUUACCCCAGCUCACCUGUCACUUAGCUUCCCCAGAAUGUGAGAGACCAAAGCAACUUGAGGGGCUGGUGAACAAGCUGGCUUCUCUCUCCAGGUCGUGCCUACAUGCGGCCUCUUCCACACCCAGAACCCAGCCAUUUCCCUUGGCCGCAUUCAGAGGCUUAGACACCCCAAUAUUGUGGGGCAGUGGGAGAAACCCAUGCAUAACUGAUCCCAGGUCCUAUCCUAGUCAGUGACCCAUGUCACCUGGGCCCACGUGGGGCAAGUGCAGUCAUUGCACAGAUAGGGAGGGAGAGCUCAUCAGGAUUUUAAAAUUCAUUAUAGCUUAUUUUGUGAAAGAAGAGUUGUUCUGAAGAUACUGGUGAGUCUUUGUGUUGUUACCUGUCUUGUAAAGCAGUGUGUAAUUUCUGGCUAAUAUCUUCAGCUCUGAUUGCAAACUGUUACCCUUAGUGAUCGCCCUGCCUUUUUUUUUUUUUUUUUUUUUUUGGCUUGUUUUAUGUUUAGUUUCAUCAAAAGCAAUAUAAAGGCUGUGUGAUAAGUAACUAAGAAGCAUCAAAGGCAGAGUUCUAGCCUGUGGAAUCAUGCGGGCCUGUAUUCAUAACCCAGCUCUGCGGCUCACUUUGUGCCCUCAAAUAUGUUAUUUACAACCUAUCUUAUAGAAGUGUUGAGAUAAUAAGGAAAGCAUUUUGGGACACCUGGGUGGCCCAGUCAGUCGAGUGUCCAAUUUUGGCCCAGGUCAUGAUCUCACAGUGUGUGGGUUUGGGUUCCCGUGUCGGGCUCUGUGCUGACAGCUCAGAGCCUGGAGCCUGCUUCGGAUUCUGUGUCUCCCACUCUCUCUGCUCCUACCUGCUCGUGCUCUCUUACUCUCUAAAGUAGAUAGAUAAGUAAGUAUUUUGAAAAGAUAUGGAAAGCACUUUGCAUACUAUAAAUAGUAAAUGGUGUUCUUAACCCUAGAACUUUCUUAUCAUUCUUGAUCGUUCUUUCCAUACAGUGUAACUUGGCAUCCGUCAAGGUGUUUGCUGCUAAGAGGCUUAUGUGCCUGGCUCUUCCAGUUGUCAGAGAGGGUGUCCAGGCACAUUUGCCGUUUUGAAAAAGGACCAUGGUUGUGCUGUGAGGGUCCCAAGUUUCAAAGCAGAGUUUUCCUUUCCUUCCUCUGCGCUUCUGUUUUGCUUUCUUGGUUCAAAUCGACUACUGUGUAUCGGGUCCUCUUAGUCACAGGUUUCUGUCCUCAAAGAAUUUCUAAUACGAUAUGUAUACAGAAGGUUAAAGAAGUUUGCCUGUUUUUCUAGGAACUGCUACUUUUACCACACAGAAUAAAGGCGAUGGAGCCAAAGUGGCAGUAAGAAAGCCUGUGCUGUCUCCAGUUACCUUCCACAGAGUUUCAGGUUUAUCGUGUGGAUGUUCACUAGGAGAACACUUCCACCUCACCUAUGACAGAGUAACUACUACCUGACUCGUCUGCCUGUCUGAACCAUAAAGUGAGUCGAACACACGUGAGGCAACUGCUCUUAGACACUGGAAAAUAGGCAACACAGAACAGUGAUCCCGGAGAGAAGGGAGACUCCUGAGGUAAGUCUCGUGAACGCCUAGCUGUCUGCUUAAGGAUAUUGUCCCCAUGACUUCAACAUAAUGAACUAGGGUCCGAGCGGAACACUUGUGGUCCUCCUACGAUGCUGAAGAGGCAGAGGUCAGGGUGGUAACAGUGGCUGGCUUCUGCAGGCCAGGGCAACAGAGAGAAGGAAGCUGGCUGCACAGAGACGAUUCCCAAAAGUCUGUGUGCAGACGGGGCAGAGCUGCUGUAUUGAGUACAAGACUCCCUGAGGCACACCAGAAGGUGGUCACUGAGGCUGAGCAUGGCUGGGGGGUGAGGGAGGCUCUGCCCAGCCAGAGCAGCGAGACCCUGCUAACACCUCAUUAACACUCCAGACAUCCAGCCUAGAAGUAAAAAUCUUACCCUAGAAUAAGGGCUACAGAAAAUACCCUUCAAUAACGAGGGUAAGAUAUAGUUCUGUCAAUGAAGCCUGAGAGAAUUAAUUGCCAAGAUCUGCACUAUACGAAAUCCAAUGAUCUUCAGGCUGAAGGGAAAUAAUACUAGACAGAGAUGUGGAUCUACAGGAAGAAAUGAAAAAGCACUGGAAAUGAUAAGACAACUAAAUGUUUAAAUGAGAACAGGAGCAGGGAGGUAAAAGGGAUUAUACUGUUGUAAAACCCCUUUAUUUCUGAAGUGGUGUGAAAUGUCAAGUUGUUAAGAGUUCACACAUAGCUCUAAAACAGCAGUUCUCAAACUUUGUGUUCGCCUUACAAAAAUCGAGGGUCCUAAAGAGCUUUUUUUUAUGUGGGUGUGUCUGUGAACAUUUAUCAUAAAAAUGAAAACAGAGAAAUGUUUAAACAUUUUUAAUUACAAUGACCCAAUGUUUAUAAGACAUAUUUACAAAGAUAUUUUCCAAAUCAAAACUUGAUGAGCAGAGUAGCAGUUUCAUAGUUUUACAAAUGUCUUUAAUGUUUGGCUUAAUGGAAGACAGCUGAAUUCCCGUACCUGCUUCUGCAUUCAACCUGUUCCAGCAUGUUGUUCUGGUCAAAGUAUAUACGAAAAAAAUCUGGCCUCACAAAUGUAGUUGGAAAAGGAGGUAUAUUGGAGGUAUAUUGUAGUUGGAAAAGGAGCUUUUUCAGACAGUAGUAUUCUUUGAUACUACACCAAAAAUUGACAAAUGGGUGACGGUUUUUAGUUUCUUCUUACAAAAAUUAUCUCCCAAAUUAUUAUUUGGGUGCAACGCCAGAAACUACCCAUGUCUCUGCACCGUAGUUUUUAUAAAGUUAACGUGAGCUUUCUAGAGUCGGGAAUCCUGUUUCCCACUCAAAGCAUCCAGCCCUGUUUCUUCAAGGCUUUUCAGGUUACAGAGCAGAGGCCAGAUCUGGCCUCCGUGAAACUUGGCUUAUUUAGAAGUCCAGUAUUGGUGGAAAGUGGUUCCUUUUUCACUCCUGGGCCAGGCCUGCACAGGUGAGUUUAAGGCUCUGUUUUAAAAUGGAGCUCAUUAUGUCUCAGGGCGAGAUUGUGACUUUCUUCUCCACAACGAAAGAAUUUUUUCCGUCGGGUUUAUCCAUAUAAGGUUGCUUCUCAAAACUUGGGGGGUAGUAAAGGAGGAGGUGAUACAGAAGAUUUUUAUUGAAAUAACUUAAAUAUUAUGUAAACUGGCUUGACAGGUCCUUUUCAUUUUUUCAUCAUUGUAAAAAGUAUGCCUAAAGAG
This is a long non-coding RNA of Felis catus (domestic cat), 3697 nucleotides long. RefSeq lists it as uncharacterized. NCBI's taxonomy places the organism in Eukaryota, Metazoa, Chordata, Mammalia, Carnivora, Felidae. The transcript is spliced from 2 exons. The record is from RefSeq and is a predicted model, not a curated record.